AUGCAUUCCGUGGCCUUUUUAUAUGGAAAUGGACCUUCAAAGUGUUACAUCAACUGUUUCUCUACUUGCCAAAAUAAUCCAUGCCUUCUAUCCACCCUUAAACAAUUCCCUUUCCGAGCUUCUUUUUCUGGACUUGUAACAGAAGAUAACACCCAAAGAAUUUUAGAAACUAAUGAAUGCUCUUUUCUUCUUCUGAAAUUACAGCUAAGCAUUAUUGAUUAUCAUCAUUAUCAUACAUCAACUUUGGCUUAUCUGACGCCUAACACAUUAAUGUUAUUUCUAGUAUGUUCGCGUAAAUCAGAAACUUGGUUUUCUAGCUAA
Molecule: ribosomal RNA, 321 nt
Filed under: Triticum aestivum (bread wheat)
Lineage: Eukaryota; Viridiplantae; Streptophyta; Magnoliopsida; Poales; Poaceae
Description: partial small subunit ribosomal RNA
Source: RNAcentral